Molecule: ribosomal RNA, 502 nt
Filed under: uncultured bacterium
Lineage: Bacteria
Description: partial 16S ribosomal RNA
Rfam family: Bacterial small subunit ribosomal RNA
Source: RNAcentral
GAUGAACGCUGGCGGCGUGCCUAAUACAUGCAAGUCGAACGAAUCUUCUUCGGAAGAUGAGUGGCGAACGGGUGAGUAAUACAUAGGUAACCUGCCCCUGUGCGGGGGAUAACAGGAGGGAACUCCUGCUAAUACCGCAUAGCCAUGAGCACCGCAUGGAGCUCAUGCCAAAUAUCCUUUCGGGGAUAGCGCAGGGAUGGACCUAUGGCGCAUUAGCUGGUUGGCGGGGCAACGGCCCACCAAGGCAACGAUGCGUAGCCGGCCUGAGAGGGCGGACGGCCACAUUGGGACUGAGACACGGCCCAGACUCCGACGGGAGGCAGCAGUAGGGAAUUUUCGGCAAUGGGGGAAACCCUGACCGAGCAACGCCGCGUGAGCGAAGAAGGCCUUCGGGUCGUAAAGCUCUGUUGUAAAGGAAGAACGGCGCAUACAGGAAAUGGUAUGCGAGUGACGGUACUUUACCAGAAAGCCACGGCUAACUACGUGCCAGCCGCCGCAGUAA